Molecule: ribosomal RNA, 484 nt
Filed under: uncultured bacterium
Lineage: Bacteria
Description: partial 16S ribosomal RNA
Rfam family: Bacterial small subunit ribosomal RNA
Source: RNAcentral
AUUGAACGCUGGCGGCAGGCCUAACACAUGCAAGUCGAACGGUUACAGGAAGAUGCUUGCUUCUUUCCGCGCGGGAGGCGGGAGUGAGAGUUAUGUCUGUGACACUGCCUGGUGGAGAGGGAUCACUACUGGAAACGGUAGCUACUACCGCCUAACGUCGCAAGACCAAGGAGGGUGACCCUCCAGCCUCUCACCUUCGCCUAGGUCGGAUUAGCUAGUGGGUGGGGUAAAGGCUCACCUAGGCGACGAUCCGUAGCUGGUCUGAGAGGAUGAGCAGCCACACUGGAACUGAGACACGGUCCAGACUCCUACGGGAGGCAGCAGUGGGGAAUAUUGGACAAUGGGCGAAAGCCUGAUGCAGCCAUGCCGCGUGUAUGAAGAAGGUCUUCGGGUUGUAAAGUACUUUCAGCGGGGAGGAAGGGAGGAAAGUUAAUACCUUUGCUUAUUGACGUUACCCGCAGAAGAAGCACCGGCUAACUCCGUG